RNAcentral lists this ribosomal RNA (274 nucleotides) under unidentified marine bacterioplankton. RNAcentral's name for it is "partial 16S ribosomal RNA". It matches the Rfam family "Bacterial small subunit ribosomal RNA", at positions 72 to 339 of the family's 1533-position model. The record is from RNAcentral.
UCCAGUAGCAAUACUGGUGAAGAUCUAGCGGCGAACAGGUGAGUAACACGUGAGAAACCUGCCCCGGACUCUGGGAUAACACGAGGAAACUCGUGCUAAUACCGGAUAUCUUCUUUUUGACCGCAUGGUCAGCUGAAGAAAGAUUUAUCGGUUUUGGGAGGGGUCUCGCGGCCUAUCAGCUAGUUGGCGGGGUAACGGCCCACCAAGGCAUCGACGGGUAGCUGGUCUGAGAGGACGAUCAGCCACACUGGGACUGAGACACGGCCCAGACUCC